GUUUCAUGUCAUCUGCAACACAACAGCCUGUCGCUGUUCAUAAGUUUCAAACAUAAAUACUUCGCAACCAGCCGUUCACCGUAGCCUGGUAAGAUGUGUAAUAAGGGCUCAGAACCAUGUAUCUUGUUGUAAUUUAAAGGGCUUUAUCUUCAAAACCCAAAAGAAGUCUUCGAAUCAAAAACACUGUUGCUCUCUCUCCCGAAACCCUAAGGCAACCAUGCUUCUCCAACCAUCUCUACACCUCCAAAACGCGUCAAUUUCGUCAACUAUCUCCUACUCGCGACCCAUCCCAUGGAAAAAUCCCCAUUGUGACCUUCGCCAAACUCUAAAUUACCUCAAAUUCCCAAUCACAUGCUCAAUAUCGCAAGUCCACAGCUACGGAACUUUGGAUUAUGAGAGAAGACCCAUGAUCAAAUGGAACUCUAUCUACAGGAGAAUCUCUUUGAUGGAAAAACCUGAAUUGGGCGCUGGGACCCUUUUGAAUCAGAUGGAAAAAGACGGCAAGAAGCUCACUAAAUGGGAACUUUGUAGGGUUGUCAAGGAAUUGAGGAAGUUCAAGCGGCACAAACAAGCACUGGAGGUUUAUGAUUGGAUGAACAAUAGAGAAGAGAGGUUUAGAUUAUCUGCCAGUGAUGCUGCAAUUCAAUUAGACCUUAUUGCCAAAGUGCGUGGAGUUUCUGCUGCUGAAGAUUUCUUUUUGAGAGUUCCAGAAACUGUAAAGGACAGGAGGAUAUAUGGGGCUUUGCUGAAUGCCUAUGUGAGAGCUAGAAUGAGGGAAAAGGCAGAAUCCAUGAUUGACAACAUAAGAAAUAAAAGUUUUGCCACACAUGCACUUCCAUUCAAUGUGAUGAUGACUCUAUACAUGAACCUCAAGGAAUAUGAUAAAGUUGACAUGAUGAUUUCAGAAAUGAUGGAGAAAAACAUUAGACUUGAUAUAUAUUCCUAUAAUAUCUGGUUAUCAUCUCGUGGAUCCCAAGGAUCUGUUGAAAGGAUGGAACAGGUAUUUGAGCAAAUGAAACUGGAUAAAACCAUUAAUCCCAACUGGACAACAUUUAGCACAAUGGCCACAAUGUACAUAAAGAUGGGGCAGUUAGAAAAAGCUGAAGAUUGCCUAAGGAGGGUUGAGAGCAGAAUCACAGGUCGGGAUCGGAUACCUUAUCACUAUCUCUUAAGCCUGUAUGGUAAUGUUGGCAAUAAAGAAGAGCUUUAUCGUGUGUGGAACAUUUACAAAUCAAAUUUUCCCAAUAUUCCGAAUUUGGGAUAUCAUGCUAUUAUCUCAUCUUUGGUUAGAAUGGGUGACAUUGAAGGUGCAGAAAAGAUUUACGAGGAAUGGCUACCAACUAGGACAUCCUAUGACCCUAGAAUAGGAAAUCUCCUCAUGGGUUGGUAUGUUAAAGAGGGAAAUUUGGACAAGGCUGAAAGUAUCUUUGACCAUAUGGCAGAAGCGGGAGGAAAGCCAAAUUCUAGUACAUGGGAGAUUCUUGCAGAUGGGCAUGUAAGAGAGAAGAGAAUUUCUGAGGUUUUGUCUUGCUUUAAGGAAGCUUUUCUUGCUGAAGGAUCAAAGAGAUGGAAGCCGAAGCCUGUAAUUGUAUCUUCCUUCUUUAAGCUGUGUGAGGAAGAAGCUGACAUGUCAAGCAAAGGAGUGUUGGAGGGUUGGUUGAGGCAGUCAGGAUAUCUUGAAGAUGAAAAUUAUGCAUCACUUGUUGGACUGUCUAGUGAACUGUCGAAUGAGAAAGAUAGCACAGGCAAUAUAAAUGACAAUGAGGAGAAUGAAAUACUUCUCAACCAGUUUCAGGGCAGUCUCUGAUAUAUUUAUCACUUGCUUUUGUGUAUGGGAGAUUGUUGUUUGGACCUCAUUUGCUGGGCAGAGUGUAUCUGAGCUCAAAUUUUCAAGGUAACUUUACUAUCUUUUCAUGGCAAUCGUCAACUGGUCAAAUUUUAUGCUCAUGCUAAUGGCAACCAGGAAUUUGGAGUCUUUGGUGUAGCCAUGCUGCAUAGAAGCAUGUCGAUAUGCCCUCAGAGAAAUUUAUCCCAGCAAUUUAAGUGACUGCAACUCAUAAACUUCUCUUAUAAAUUUUGUAUCAUUCUUUUCCUUUUUUCAACAUACAUUUCUGGCUUUAAAUUGAAUUAUUGAGUUCUCUCUCUCUGAUUAUAAGCACAAACUUCAUAUUAGAGAGGCAAAGUUGGAUGCAGCUGAUCCUUCUAAUAUAUGCUAGUUGUUGCUUGAUGACUAUGCCUCCCUGUGUUAUUUUCACUACUCAGACAAGAAUAUGGAGAAUUUAAACCCCAACUGUCCAAGACUAAUUUUCCAUCUUCAAAACUAACAUCCAAAUAUUUCUUUCAGGCAGGCAUGUACAUAUGGUGAAAAAUGGGUAGUAUAAAAAGGAUAACUGAGGGCGGAGGUCAUGAUCUUCAUACUUGCAGUUUCUUUCCUAGUGGGCUGAGGUGAAUAAAUCCAUUUUCAUGGGCACUUAAUGCCUAAUACGGCGAAAAGAGAAACUCGAAACUUCUGUCAUAUAAUAUAAUAAUAUAAUUCUGUUUUCUUGCCUAAUUAGCUAUUUGCGGUAAAAGGGCCAGAAAUUAUCCUAAUCUCUGUUUAGUCCUGUUUGAUUUAACAGUUGUAUAAAAUAUUAGUUGAUUGGCAAAUAAUAAUUAAUUUAUAUUAUUUAUU
This 2671-nucleotide unclassified non-coding RNA is filed under the name Hevea brasiliensis (rubber tree). The record is from RNAcentral. Lineage: Eukaryota; Viridiplantae; Streptophyta; Magnoliopsida; Malpighiales; Euphorbiaceae.